RNAcentral lists this ribosomal RNA (465 nucleotides) under uncultured bacterium. RNAcentral describes it as "partial 16S ribosomal RNA". It matches the Rfam family "Bacterial small subunit ribosomal RNA", at positions 28 to 507 of the family's 1533-position model. The record is from RNAcentral.
GACGAACGCUGGCGGCGUGCUUAACACAUGCAAGUCGAACGGAAAGGCCCUGCUUGCAGGGUACUCGAGUGGCGAACGGGUGAGUAACACGUGGGUGAUCUGCCCUGCACUUCGGGAUAAGCCUGGGAAACUGGGUCUAAUACCGGAUAGGAGCCAUUUUUAGUGUGAUGGUUGGAAAGUUUUUUCGGUGUAGGAUGAGCUCGCGGCCUAUCAGCUUGUUGGUGGGGUAAUGGCCUACCAAGGCGGCGACGGGUAGCCGGCCUGAGAGGGUGGACGGCCACAUUGGGACUGAGAUACGGCGCAGACUCCUACGGGAGGCAGCAGUGGGGAAUAUUGCACAAUGGGCGCAAGCCUGAUGCAGCGACGCCGCGUGGGGGAUGACGGCCUUCGGGUUGUAAACUCCUUUCGCUAGGGACGAAGCUUUUUGUGACGGUACCUAGAUAAGAAGCACCGGCUAACUACGUG